AUAAGGUUAAGUUAGUUUUGACUGUACGUUUUCAAGACGUUUAGGGGCUGUUUUGGGUCAUCUUAUG
RNAcentral lists this transfer RNA (67 nucleotides) under Echinococcus granulosus. Its description in RNAcentral is "tRNA-Trp". The record is from RNAcentral. Lineage: Eukaryota; Metazoa; Platyhelminthes; Cestoda; Cyclophyllidea; Taeniidae.